Molecule: ribosomal RNA, 406 nt
Filed under: uncultured bacterium
Lineage: Bacteria
Description: partial 16S ribosomal RNA
Rfam family: Bacterial small subunit ribosomal RNA
Source: RNAcentral
AUUGAACGCUGGCGGCAGGCCUAACACAUGCAAGUCGAGCGAGCGGCGGACGGGUGAGUAAUGUCUGGGAACCUGCCUGAUGGAGGGGGAUAACUACUGGAAACCGUAGCUAAUACCGCAUACCAUCAGAUGUGCCCAGAGGGGAUUAGCUAGUAGGUGGGGUAACGGCCCACCUAGGCGACGAUCCCUAGCGGGUCUGAGAGGAUGACCAGCCACACUGGAACUGAGACACGGUCCAGAAUCCUACGGGAGGCAGCAGUGGGGAAUAUUGGACAAUGGGCGAAAGCCUGAUGCAGCAAUGCCGCGUGUGUGAAGAAGGCGUUCGGGUUGUAAAGCACUUUCAGCGGGGAGGCGUUACCCGCAGAAGAAGCAACGGCUAACUCCGUGCCAGCAGCCGCGGUAAUAC